This 386-nucleotide ribosomal RNA is filed under the name uncultured bacterium. Its description in RNAcentral is "bacterial SSU rRNA". It matches the Rfam family "Bacterial small subunit ribosomal RNA", at positions 28 to 416 of the family's 1533-position model. The record is from RNAcentral.
GACGAACGCUGGCGGCGUGCUUAACACAUGCAAGUCGAGCGGUAAGGCCCUUUCGGGGGUACACGAGCGGCGAACGGGUGAGUAACACGUGGGUGACCUGCCCUCAGCUCUGGGAUAAGCCCGGGAAACUGGGUCUAAUACCGGAUAUGACUCCAUGACGCAUGUUGUGGGGUGGAAAGCCUUGUGCGGCUGAGGAUGGGCCCGCGGCCUAUCAGCUUGUUGGUGGGGUGAUGGCCACCAAGGCGACGACGGGUAGCCGGCCUGAGAGGGCGACCGGCCACACUGGGACUGAGACACGGCCCAGACUCCUACGGGAGGCAGCAGUGGGGAAUUUUGGACAAUGGGGGCAACCCUGAUCCAGCCAUGCCGCGUGAGUGAAGAAGGCC